RNAcentral lists this ribosomal RNA (488 nucleotides) under uncultured bacterium. Its description in RNAcentral is "partial 16S ribosomal RNA". It matches the Rfam family "Bacterial small subunit ribosomal RNA", at positions 30 to 507 of the family's 1533-position model. The record is from RNAcentral.
AUUGAACGCUGGCGGCAUGCCUUACACAUGCAAGUCGAACGGCAGCAUGGAGAGCUUGCUCUCUGAUGGCGAGUGGCGAACGGGUGAGUAAAGCAUCGGAACGUACCGUGUUGUUGUGGUUAACGUAGCGAAAGUUACUCUAAUACCGCAUACGCACUGAGGUGGAAAGCAGGGGAUCGUAAGACCUUUCUCUAUUCUAUCGGCCGAUGUCAGAUUAGCUAGUUGGUAGGGUAAAGGCCUACCAAGGCGACGAUCUGUAGCGGGUCUGAGAGGAUGAUCCGCCACACUGGGACUGAGACACGGACCAGACUCCUACGGGAGGCAGCAGUGGGGAAUUUUGGACAAUGGGGGAAACCCUGAUACAGCAAUGCCGAGUGAGUGAAGAAGGCCUUCGGGUUGUAAAGCUCUUUCGGCCGGGAAGAAAUCGAACAGGCUAAUACCCUGUGUGGAUGACGGUACCGGCAUAAGAAGCACCGGCUAACUACGUG